CGCAGCUAUCAUGCAGUCGAGGGGCAUCGCAGGUAGCAAUACUGGGCGGCGACCGGCAAACGGGUGCGGAACACGUACGUAACCUUCCUUUAAGUGGGAGAUAGCCCGAAGAAAUUCGGAUUAAUACCCCAUAAGAUCAUAGAGUGGCAUCACUUAGUGAUUAAAGAAUUUCGCUUAAAGAUGGGCGUGCGGCUGAUUAGGUAGUUGGUGAGGUAACGGCUCACCAAGCCAACGAUCAGUAACUGGCGUGAGAGCGCGACCAGUCACACGGGCACUGAGACACGGGCCCGACUCCUACGGGAGGCAGCAGUAAGGAAUAUUGGUCAAUGGACGGAAGUCUGAACCAGCCAUGCCGCGUGAAGGAUGAAGGUCCUCUGGAUUGUAAACUUCUUUUAUAUGGGAAGAAACCACUUUUAUCUAAAGGUGUUGACGGUACCAUAGGAAUAAGCACCGGCUAACUCCGUGCCAGCAGCCGCGGUAAUACGGAGGGUGCAAGCGUUAUCCGGAUUCACUGGGUUUAAAGGGUGCGUAGGCGGAUUGGUAAGUCCGUGGUGAAAUCCCCGAGCUUAACUCGGAAACUGCCAUGGAUACUAUUAGUCUUGAAUAUUGUGGAGGUUAGCGGAAUAUGUCAUGUAGCGGUGAAAUGCAUAGAUAUGACAUAGAACACCAAUUGCGAAGGCAGCUGGCUACACAAAUAUUGACGCUGAUGCACGAAAGCGUGGGGAUCAAACAGGAUUAGAUACCCUGGUAGUCCACGCCCUAAACGAUGAUUACUCGACAUUUGCGAUAUACAGUAAGUGUCUGAGCGAAAGCAUUAAGUGAUCCACCUGGGAAGUACGACCGCAAGGUU
Molecule: ribosomal RNA, 850 nt
Filed under: uncultured bacterium
Lineage: Bacteria
Description: bacterial SSU rRNA
Rfam family: Bacterial small subunit ribosomal RNA
Source: RNAcentral